AUAAUUAAGGAUCCCCUAGUACGGCGAGUGAGCGGGAAGAGCUCAAAUUUGAAAUCUGGUAGCCUUCGGUUGCCCGAGUUGUAAUCUAGAGAAGUGUUUUCCGUGCCGGCCCAUGUACAAGUCCCUUGGAACAGGGCGUCAUAGAGGGUGAGAAUCCCGUCCUUGACAUGGACCCCCGGUGCUUUGUGAUACACUUUCAACGAGUCGAGUUGUUUGGGAAUGCAGCUCAAAAUGGGUGGUGAAUUCCAUCUAAAGCUAAAUAUUGGCGAGAGACCGAUAGCGAACAAGUACCGUGAGGGAAAGAUGAAAAGCACUUUGGAAAGAGAGUUAAACAGUACGUGAAAUUGUUGAAAGGGAAACGAUUGAAGUCAGUCAUGCUCUUGGGACUUACCUCCCUUGAGUGGGGUCAACAUCAGUUUUGAUCGAUGGAUAAAGGCACGGGGAAGGUAGCACUCUCGGGUGAACUUAUAGCCUCGCGUCAUAUACAUUGAUUGGGACUGAGGAACGCAGCAUGCCUUAUGGCCGGGAUUCGUCCACGUACAUGCUUAGGAUGUUGACAUAAUGGCUUUAAACGACCCGUCUUG
Molecule: ribosomal RNA, 584 nt
Filed under: Naganishia albida
Lineage: Eukaryota; Fungi; Basidiomycota; Tremellomycetes; Filobasidiales; Filobasidiaceae
Description: partial large subunit ribosomal RNA
Rfam family: Eukaryotic large subunit ribosomal RNA
Source: RNAcentral